Molecule: long non-coding RNA, 1834 nt
Organism: Pezoporus flaviventris
Lineage: Eukaryota; Metazoa; Chordata; Aves; Psittaciformes; Psittacidae
Exons: 3
Source: RefSeq, a predicted model, not a curated record
CGUCCCGUCCUGUCCGCCCACCGUCGCCCUGUACGUACAAAGGAAACUUCGGUCGCAUCCUCCGGCGGUACCCCCGCGGUGUGUCCGUGAGUAUGGAAACAGCCAGCGCGGAGAUGAAGGAUGUUUCAUUUUCUGAGCUCAGCUUAUCGUAUCUGGGUCUGAAAUUCAGGAGGGGGCGUAUGUUUAAGUGGUUUAAAGAGUCUUCGGCACUCAUUUGAAAGGCAAAAGGACCAGAGGACGAGAUCUAAAGCGUGAGCACCCCCAGCAGUGUGAUAAGGAGUGGUGUAAGGAGUGAAACGGUCACUGGGUGGUCCUGGAAACUGAUUUCUUCUCUUGAACUCUUCUGCAUUUCAGCAGCUCCCUACGAAUGUGUUAGAGCCUCUGCUGGCAUCAACUGACAUGGCUCAGCGGAGGAAAUCAACUCAGCUGUAUCUUUGGUACAAUGAAUACCUUACCAGGAAUCACAUCUAUCUUUCAGGUGUGCUGCUCUGUGUUGUGACUACACUCCGGUGUUUCAUUCUCCAAAUCCUCUUGAUCACCCUACCAAAUAAGCUGGUCACUUUGUCACCGGACUGAUGUGCACUGCUAGAGAGUGGCCAUGCAUCUAACUACAGUGGUGGACAUCUUCCCAUGUUGGGUGAAAUAGCUUCAUGGCAAUAGCCAAUAUUUGAAGAAACAGCCCUAAAAAUGCCAUGUCCCAGGCAAAGGUCAAAGUGAUGAGUGAAAAACACUCAAAUUAGUCCCACAAAGUCCAUCAGAGGAUUCCUUUUUUAGGCAUCCGUGUUUGUGGAAGAUUGGAGCCAUGGCUUAUGAUUCUCUGAAACAACUUUUAGACUUGGGAGGCAUACUGAGUCUUUAGGAAAGUCAAUGAGAAGGGCAAUGUCAUCUGAAUGCCCUGUUUGCAGCAUAUUGUCUUUCAGACCAAUCAAUCUCUUGCGAGUACAAGAGCAGAGCUGUCCCCAAGCAGCAGAAGGUAGCACUCGAAUGGGCACAAUGGAAGCCUGCUUUCAGUCAGAAUGAUUUACUGUUGUCACAAAUGGUGAGAACACCAUUUUUACAACCAAGGAAUCUGAUGGUUACAGUUUUGCUUCUCUGCCCGAGAUUAUGUAAGGCAGAGAAUGUUUCUGUAUCCCAGCUAACGUAAAGGAAACAAAUCACACAUUUCUAAUGUGCCAGAAAUGGAUAGGCAGUUCAAUAGCUGCGGAUCCAAUUCCUUCUGAUUGUCAGUUUCUACUCUAUCCCCAGAUUUUGUUUAAUCAUUUAAAAGAGCACUGGUACCAAUUUCCUCCCCGUUUAAAGGGUUCUGGCUGCUUGCUUACUUCCCCCAUAAUGUGUUUCAAGAGCACAGUGGUGUCUCCAAGCAAAGGCAAACAGUAUAUGAAAUCAGAAUAAACCAGGAUGACCCAUUUUAGGUCAUCUGCUGUAGUCUUCUGAUUGCGAGAGCAAUUACUGUACCUGUAGUGGUUCUUUUCUUGGAAUGGGGCUGAAAGUCGUGAGCAGGUGAAGCAUCACUUGUUCUCUUCAGGGAGCAACCUAGUAUGGUCUGCUAUACACGAAGCUCCUGCACAGGUCUCUUGAACUGCCUCAUCUUAUUCUGUUAAUGCUAUUACAGCUUGUGGCCCUCUAUUAACCACCCUAAACAAUCUCCUUCCUUUUCACAUGGAUGUAACUUGAGAUGGGAGUGUUUUGUUGGCCGAAGCAAAACCGUGGCCCCAGGACCAUGACUGGAGCCCGUUGCUGAGAAUGAGGGACACUGUUUUUAAAACAAGGUUGGCACUAGCCACUGGGAAGUGCCACAAUCACUCCUCUGGGUGCUGCUUCUUAAUACCUGCAG